Long non-coding RNA from Carassius carassius (crucian carp), 563 nucleotides. RefSeq lists it as uncharacterized. The record is from RefSeq and is a predicted model, not a curated record. NCBI's taxonomy places the organism in Eukaryota, Metazoa, Chordata, Actinopteri, Cypriniformes, Cyprinidae. The transcript has 3 exons.
CUAAAGAGGGUUAAAGUCCAGCAUUCAUCAGCCUGCAGCAACAGAUCACUGCUUUUUUUCUUCUCUCAGGCGUGUUGUGCUCAGCUGCUGUUAUACCAGCCACUGUUUGACGCAUCCAAGCCUGAGAGUGCAGCAGAUGGCUCACAACAUCUUCAACCUGACACCACAUCCUAACCAGGUCUGUGUCUCAGUGGAGGAAUGGAAGAAACUGUCACAGAAGGGACUGCUGUCUCCGCUCUUGGCAGCCUGAUUGUUUUUCCGCUGGAAAAAUGUGGCCAGCUGCAGAGUGUUGUAAAGACAGACAAUUAAACAGACGACAUGGGAGAUCUAUAUUCAGUUAUUCUUCUUGAACUAUGAGCGUCUUCAUGUUUAAACACAGCAUAGGGUUGCUAGUUGUAGUCCAUAGUUACUAGAGAAGAGUCAACCAAACAUCCCGUUUUUUUGGUGGUUGUUUUUGUACUAUGCAUUCAAAACAUCUGGAAAGAGAAUUAACACUUAACAUGCUACAUAUAGCACAUACUUAAAAAGCCCUUUAUUUCAUUGCAUACUGUGUAUGAUUUCAA